UACAGAGGGGGCAAGCGUUGUUCGGAAUUACUGGGCGUAAAGGGCGCGUAGGCGGCCUUCUAAGUCGAACGUGAAAUCCCUGGGCUCAACCCAGGAACUGCGUCCGAUACUGGAAGGCUUGAAUCCGGGAGAGGGAUGCGGAAUUCCAGGUGUAGCGGUGAAAUGCGUAGAUAUCUGGAGGAACACCGGUGGCGAAGGCGGCAUCCUGGCCUGUUUCUUGACGCUGAGGCGCGAAAGCUAGGGGAGCAAACGGG
Molecule: ribosomal RNA, 254 nt
Filed under: uncultured bacterium
Lineage: Bacteria
Description: partial 16S ribosomal RNA
Rfam family: Bacterial small subunit ribosomal RNA
Source: RNAcentral